RNAcentral lists this ribosomal RNA (253 nucleotides) under uncultured bacterium. Its description in RNAcentral is "partial 16S ribosomal RNA". It matches the Rfam family "Bacterial small subunit ribosomal RNA", at positions 524 to 776 of the family's 1533-position model. The record is from RNAcentral.
GACGUAGGGCGCAAGCGUUGUCCGGAUUUAUUGGGCGUAAAGAGCUCGUAGGCGGCUCGUUGCGUCGGCUGUGAAAACCCGCAGCUCAACUGUGGGCUUGCAGCCGAUACGGGCGGGCUGGAGUUCGGUAGGGGAGACUGGAAUUCCUGGUGUAGCGGUGAAAUGCGCAGAUAUCAGGAGGAACACCGGUGGCGAAGGCGGCUACCUGGACAGAAACUGACGCUGAGGCGCGAAAGCUAGGGGAGCAAACAGG